Small RNA from Clostridium sp. CAG:7, 54 nucleotides. It matches the Rfam family "Streptococcus sRNA SpF59 (ldcC RNA)". The record is from Rfam. NCBI's taxonomy places the organism in Bacteria, Bacillati, Bacillota, Clostridia, Eubacteriales, Clostridiaceae.
UGACCACUCAAUAUAUUGAGUUAAGCCCAGACGGACAGGCGGGUCAGAAGCCGA